AGAGUUUGAUCCUGGCUCAGAGCGAACGCUAGCGGCGGGCUUAACACAUGCAAGUCGAGCGGAGGGGCAACCCUUAGCGGCGAACGGGUGAGUAACGCGUAGGUAACGUGCCUUCAGGUGGGGAACAACCGUGGGAAACCAUGGCUAAUACCGCAUAAUGUCGAAAGAUGAAAGCCUUCGGGCGCCUGGAGAGCGGCCUGCGUCCCAUUACCUAGUUGGUAGGGUAACGGCCUACCAAGGGAACGAUGGGUAGCUGGUCUAAGUGAUGAUCAGCCACACUGGAACUGAGACACGGUCCAGACUCCUACGGGAGGCAGCAGUGGGGAAUAUUGCGCAAUGGGGGAAACCCUGACGCAGCCACGCCGCGUGAGUGAAGAAGGCCUUCGGGUCGUAAAGCUCUGUCGGGAGAGACGAAGGGGUAAAACUCUGACGGUAUCUCGUAAGAAAGCACCGGCUAACUCUGUGCCAGCAGCCGCGGUAAUACAGAGGGUGCAAGCGUUGCUCGGAUUUACUGGGCGUAAAGCGUACGCAGACGGACCGUCAAGUCGGGAGUGAAAGCCCUGGGCUCAACCCAGGAACGGCUUUCGAUACUAGCGGUCUUGAGUUUGGGAGAGGGAAGCGGAAUUCCUGGUGUAGAGGUGAAAUUCGUAGAUAUCAGGAGGAACACCGGCGGCGAAGGCGGCUUCCUGGCCCAAUACUGACGUUCAGGUACGAAAGCGUGGGUAGCAAACAGGAUUAGAUACCCUGGUAGUCCACGCUGUAAACGAUGAGUGCUGGAUGUCGGAGGUAUUCACCCCUUCGGUAUCGAAGCUAACGCGUUAAGCACUCCGCCUGGGGAGUACGGCCGCAAGGUUGAAACUCAAAGGAAUUGACGGGGGCCCGCACAAGCGGUGGAGUAUGUCGUUUAAUUCGACUACGCGCAGAACCUUACCCAGCCUUGACAUCCUUGGAACCGAGUGGAAACACUUGGGUGCUCUCGCAAGAGAGAGCCAUGAGACAGGUGCUGCAUGGCUGUCGUCAGCUCGUGUCGUGAGAUGUUCGGUUAAGUCCGGCAACGAGCGCAACCCCUGUCUUCAGUUGCCAUCAUUCAGUUGGGCCCUCUGGAGAGACUGCCGGCGUCAAGCCGGAGGAAGGUGGGGAUGACGUCAAGUCCUCAUGGCCUUUAUGGUUGGGGCUACACACGUACUACAAUGAUGACUACAAAGGGCAGCCAACCCGCGAGGGGGAGCAAAUCCCAAAAAAGUCAUCUCAGUUCGGAUUGCAGUCUGCAACUCGACUGCAUGAAGUCGGAAUCGCUAGUAAUCGCGGAUCAGCAUGCCGCGGUGAAUACGUUCCCGGGCCUUGUACACACCGCCCGUCACACCACGAAAGUUGGAUGGACCCGAAGUCGCUGCUCCGACCCGCAAGGGGGGAAGGCGCCAACGGUCUGUUCGAUGAUUGGGGUGAAGUCGGAACAAGGUA
This 1461-nucleotide ribosomal RNA is filed under the name metagenome. Its description in RNAcentral is "bacterial SSU rRNA". It matches the Rfam family "Bacterial small subunit ribosomal RNA". The record is from RNAcentral.